Molecule: ribosomal RNA, 497 nt
Filed under: uncultured bacterium
Lineage: Bacteria
Description: partial 16S ribosomal RNA
Rfam family: Bacterial small subunit ribosomal RNA
Source: RNAcentral
GAUGAACGCUGGCGGCGUGCCUAAUACAUGCAAGUCGAGCGAACAGACGAGGAGCUUGCUCCUCUGACGUUAGCGGCGGACGGGUGAGUAACACGUGGAUAACCUACCUAUAAGACUGGGAUAACUUCGGGAAACCGGAGCUAAUACCGGAUAAUAUAUUGAACCGCAUGGUUCAAUAGUGAAAGACGGUUUUGCUGUCACUUAUAGAUGGAUCCGCGCCGCAUUAGCUAGUUGGUAAGUUAACGGCUUACCAAGGCAACGAUGCGUAGCCGACGUGAGAGGGUGGUCGGCCACACUGGAACUGAGACACGGUCCAGACUCCUACGGGAGGCAGCAGUAGGGAAUCUUCCGCAAUGGGCGAAAGCCUGACGGAGCAACGCCGCGUGAGUGAUGAAGGUCUUCGGAUCGUAAAACUCUGUUAUUAGGGAAGAACAAAUGUGUAAGUAACUAUGCACGUCUUGACGGUAACUAAUCAGAAAGCCACGGCUAACUACGUG